GACGAACGCUGGCGGCGUGCCUAAUACAUGCAAGUCGAACGAAGCUGUUUUAACUGGUGCUUGCACCGACUUAAACAACUGAGUGGCGAACGGGUGAGUAACACGUGGGUAACCUGCCCCAAAGCGGGGGAUAACAUUUGGAAACAGAUGCUAAUACCGCAUAACCACAGAAACCACAUGGUUUCUGUGUCAAAGAUGGUUUCGGCUAUCACUUUGGGAUGGACCCGCGGCGUAUUAGCUAGUUGGUAAGGUAAUGGCUUACCAAGGCAAUGAUACGUAUCCGAACUGAGAGGUUGAUCGGCCACAUUGGGACUGAGACACGGGCCAAACUCCUACGGGAGGCAGCAGUAGGGAAUCUUCCACAAUGGACGAAAGUCUGAUGGAGCAACGCCGCGUGAGUGAAGAAGGUUUUCGGAUCGUAAAACUCUGUUGUCAGAGAAGAACGUGUGCGAGAGAAACUGCUCGUGCAGUGACGGUAUCUGGCCAGAAAGCCACGGCUAACUACGUGCCAGCCGCCGCGGUAA
Molecule: ribosomal RNA, 524 nt
Filed under: uncultured bacterium
Lineage: Bacteria
Description: partial 16S ribosomal RNA
Rfam family: Bacterial small subunit ribosomal RNA
Source: RNAcentral